AUGAAAUUAAAAUUAUUAAAUAUAAUUUUAUCAAUAAUAAAUAAACUUAAUAAUAAUAAUAAUAUUAUUAUUAAUAAUCUAUUAGAUUCAUUAAUAAAUAAGAAAUUAUUAUUAAAGAAUAUAUUAUUAGAUAUAAAUAAUAAAAAAAUAAAUAAUAUAAAAAGAAUAUUAAAUAAUAAUAAUAUAAAUAUUAAUAAUAAAUUACAACAUUUAAAUAAUAUAAAUAAUUGAAAUCUACAAAUUUAUAAUUAUAAUAAAAAUAUAGAAAUUAUAAAUACUAUAAAUGAUAAAUUAAUUAAUAAAUUAUUAUAUAAAAUAAUAACUUUAAAAUUAAAUAAUAUAAACCCCGCGGGACCAAUCCGGUGAACAACCGGAUUGGCGCCCGCGGGGAAUAUUAAUAAAAUUAUUAUAAGUAAACUUAUUAAUCAACAUAGUUUAAAUAAAUUAAAUAUUAAAUUUUAUUAUUAUAAUAAUGAUAUUAAUAAUAAUAAUAAUAAUAAUAAUAAUAAUAAUUAUUAUAUAAAUAUAAUAAAUAAAUUAAUAAAUAUUAUAAAUAAUAAUAUAAAUAAUAAUUUAUGUAAUAUUUUAAGUUAUUAUUAUAAUAAAAAAGUAACUAUUGAACCUAUUAAAUUAUCAUAUAUUUAUUUAAAUAGUGAUAUUUUUAGUAAAUAUAUUAGUUUAAAUGAUAUAGAUAAAUAUAAUAAUGGUAUCUUAACUAAUUAUCAACGUAUAUUAAAUAAUAUUAUGCCUAAAUUAAAUGAUCAUAAUAUUUCUAUAAAUUAUAUUAAUAAUAUUAAUAAUAUUAAUAAUAAUAAAUAUAAUAAUAUAAUUAAUUUAUUAAAUAAUAAUAAUAAUAAUAAUAAUAAUAUUAAUAAUAAUAAUAAUUAUAAUAAUUAUAAUAAUAAUUAUAUUGGUAAUAUUAAUAAUAUUUAUAAUAAUAUAACUAUUGAUAAUAUUCCUAUAGAUAUUUUAAUAUAUAAAUAUUUAGUUGGUUGAUCUAUUAAAUUUAAAGGUAGAUUAAGUAAUAAUAAUGGUAGAACUAGUACACUUAAUUUAUUAAAUGGUACUUUUAAUAAUAAAAAAUAUUUAUGAAGUAAUAUUAAUAAUAAUUAUAAAUUAAAUUAUAUCCCUUCUAAUCAUAAUUUAUAUAAUAAUUCUAAUAUUAAUAAAAAUGGUAAAUAUAAUAUUAAAGUUAAAUUAAACUUUAUUUAA
This 1212-nucleotide ribosomal RNA is filed under the name Saccharomyces cerevisiae (brewer's yeast). Lineage: Eukaryota; Fungi; Ascomycota; Saccharomycetes; Saccharomycetales; Saccharomycetaceae. The record is from RNAcentral.